Molecule: long non-coding RNA, 309 nt
Filed under: Amborella trichopoda
Lineage: Eukaryota; Viridiplantae; Streptophyta; Magnoliopsida; Amborellales; Amborellaceae
Description: long non-coding RNA (ATRI_LNC004521)
Source: RNAcentral
ACCAUCCUAAGAACUUGCAACACCAAAAUUAUAUCUUAUGAUAAAGUUUAAAGGUGCACCUUAAUUUGAUUGUUUAAGGUUGCAACCUUAUGCAAACCAUACCACUCAAAAUUCAUUCUUUUGACUAUUUCGUGUACCAUUUGUAUAGAGCCGAGGCUCUAAACAAUCAAAGUAAAGUGCACUGUUGAGAAAUGUGGUUUCAUGUUUUGAACCCAGUGACUCAGGUUUAGGUCCAAAUGGCUUGGACUUGAGCCGAGUCAGAUCUGGCAUGGACCCUAUCGGGUUGGGUCAAGUCUAGGUCAACCCAGC